ACGCGAGGAACCUUACCAGGUCUUGACAUCCCAUUGACCGCUAUGGAGACAUAGCUUUCCCUUCGGGGACAGUGGUGACAGGUGGUGCAUGGUUGUCGUCAGCUCGUGUCGUGAGAUGUUGGGUUAAGUCCCGCAACGAGCGCAACCCUUGAUCUUAGUUGCCAGCAUUAAGUUGGGCACUCUAAGGUGACUGCCGGUGACAAACCGGAGGAAGGUGGGGAUGACGUCAAAUCAUCAUGCCCCUUAUGACCUGGGCUACACACGUGCUACAAUGGACGGUACAAACGGUUGCGAAGUCGCGAGAUGGAGCUAAUCUGAUAAAACCGUUCUCAGUUCGGAUUGUAGGCUGCAACUCGCCUACAUGAAGCUGGAAUCGCUAGUAAUCGCGGAUCAGCAUGCCGCGGUGAAUACGUUCCCGGGCCUUGCACACACCGCCCGU
Molecule: ribosomal RNA, 439 nt
Filed under: uncultured bacterium
Lineage: Bacteria
Description: bacterial SSU rRNA
Rfam family: Bacterial small subunit ribosomal RNA
Source: RNAcentral